AGGAGAUGGUCAAGGGGGCCCAGGCUGCAGGGUCUCCAAACUUUGGGGAAUUGUCACUGCCAGUGAACAGGAGACCGACCGAAGAGAUCCAUGACUGCCGGCCACAACUUCCCGUGGACGAUGCUGCAGGAGGUCAGCUCGGAUUCCCAAUUGAUGAAGAGGAGCCCAACGUUUGGCCGGGUCACGCUGUGCCCUGCGUUGGGAUAGUCCAACUCGAGGAUGGAAACCUGAUCCUCCAAGCGACCGAGGGCCUAUGUUCCAACGUAGCUGUCAGGUUGGCUCUGGAAUAGUUCAAGAUGAUGUAAUCCCAGAGUGUGAUACUGAAAAAAGUGUCUGCAAUAUAUAGAUGUGAAAUCAUUUCUCAACAGUUCAAAAGACUUGUAAAACAUAAAUGGCCCCAUGAGAAACGGGGAUUAAAAUGAGCAUUUACGCUCAAA
Rhincodon typus (whale shark) is the source of this 437-nucleotide long non-coding RNA. RefSeq lists it as uncharacterized. The record is from RefSeq and is a predicted model, not a curated record. The transcript has 3 exons. Lineage: Eukaryota; Metazoa; Chordata; Chondrichthyes; Orectolobiformes; Rhincodontidae.